Molecule: ribosomal RNA, 443 nt
Filed under: uncultured bacterium
Lineage: Bacteria
Description: partial 16S ribosomal RNA
Rfam family: Bacterial small subunit ribosomal RNA
Source: RNAcentral
CCUACGGGUGGCAGCCGUGGGGAAUAUUGGGCAAUGGGCGCAAGCCUGACCCAGCAACGCCGCGUGAAGGAAGAAGGCCCUCGGGUUGUAAACUUCUUUUAUUCGGGACGAAACAAAUGACGGUACCGAAUGAAUAAGCCACGACUAACUACGUACCAGAAGCCGCGGGAAUACGUAGGUGGCAAGCGUUAUCCGGGGUUACUGGGUGUAAGGGGCGGGUAGGCGGGUAAGCAAGUCAGACGUGAAAUUCCAGGGCUCAACCCUGGAACUGCGUUUGAACCGGUUCUUCUUGAGUGAUGGAGAGGCAGGCGGAAUUCCGUGUGGAGCGGUGAAAUGCGUAGAUAUACGGAGGAACACCAGUGGCGAAGGCGGCCUGCUGGACAUUAACUGACGCUGAGGCGCGAAAGCGUGGGGAGCAAACAGGAUUAGAUACCCGAGUAGUC